This 769-nucleotide ribosomal RNA is filed under the name uncultured bacterium. RNAcentral describes it as "bacterial SSU rRNA". It matches the Rfam family "Bacterial small subunit ribosomal RNA", at positions 53 to 867 of the family's 1533-position model. The record is from RNAcentral.
ACAUGCAAGUCGAACGCUCACCUUCGGGUGGGAGUGGCAGACGGGUGAGUAACACGUGGGAACGUACCCUUUGGUUCGGGACAACUCUGGGAAACUGGAGCUAAUACCGGAUACGCCCUUUUGGGGAAAGGUUUACUGCCGAAGGAUCGGCCCGCGUCUGAUUAGCUAGUUGGUGGGGUAACGGCCUACCAAGGCGACGAUCAGUAGCUGGUCUGAGAGGAUGAUCAGCCACACUGGGACUGAGACACGGCCCAGACCCCUACGGGAGGCAGCAGUGGGGAAUAUUGGACAAUGGGCGCAAGCCUGAUCCAGCCAUGCCGCGUGAGUGAUGAAGGCCUUAGGGUUGUAAAGCUCUUUUAUCCGGGACGAUAAUGACGGUACCGGAGGAAUAAGCCCCGGCUAACUUCGUGCCAGCAGCCGCGGUAAUACGAAGGGGGCUAGCGUUGCUCGGAAUCACUGGGCGUAAAGGGCGCGUAGGCGGCGUUUUAAGUCGGGGGUGAAAGCCUGUGGCUCAACCACAGAAUGGCCUUCGAUACUGGGACGCUUGAGUCUGGUAGAGGUUGGUGGAACUGCGAGUGUAGAGGUGAAAUUCGUAGAUAUUCGCAAGAACACCGGUGGCGAAGGCGGCCAACUGGACCGGCACUGACGCUGAGGCGCGAAAGCGUGGGGAGCAAACAGGAUUAGAUACCCUGGUAGUCCACGCUGUAAACGAUGAAUGCUAGCUGUUGGGAUGCAUGCAUCUCAGUAGCGCAGCUAACGCAUUAAGCAU